RNAcentral lists this ribosomal RNA (656 nucleotides) under uncultured bacterium. Its description in RNAcentral is "bacterial SSU rRNA". It matches the Rfam family "Archaeal small subunit ribosomal RNA", at positions 652 to 1307 of the family's 1478-position model. The record is from RNAcentral.
GAGGACCACCAGUGGUGAAGACGUCUGGUUAGAAUAGGUCCGACGGUGAGGGACGAAGGCUGGGGGCGUUAACCGGAUUAGAUACCCGGGUAGUCCCAGCAGUAAACGAUGCCAGCUAUGUGUUGCUGGAACCAUGGGUUCCAGCAGUGCCGAAGGGAAGCCGUGAAGCUGGCCACCUGGGAAGUACGGUCGCAAGGCUGAAACUUAAAGGAAUUGGCGGGGGAGUACCACAACCGGUGGAGCCUGCGGUUUAAUUGGAUACAACGCCGGGAAUCUUACCGGAGGGGACAGCAGUAUGAAGGCCAGGCUAAAGACCUUGCCAGAUCAGCUGAGAGGAGGUGCAUGGCCGUCGCCAGUUCGUACCGUGAGGCAUCCUGUUUAGUCAGGCAACGAUCGAGACCCGCAGUCUUAUUUGCCAGCAUGCCCUUUGGGGUGUAUGGGUACAAUAAGACGACCGCCAGCGCUAAGCUGGAGGAAGGAGCGGGCUACGGUAGGUCAGCAUGCCCCGAAUCCUCCGGGAUACACGCGGGCUACAAUGGUCAGGACAAAAGGUACCGACCUCGAAAGAGUGAGGUAAUCCACAAACCUGAUCUCAGUCCGGAUCGAAGGCUGCAACUCGCCUUCGUGAAGAUGGAAUCGGUAGUAAUCGUGACUCA